This 405-nucleotide ribosomal RNA is filed under the name uncultured beta proteobacterium. RNAcentral's name for it is "bacterial SSU rRNA". It matches the Rfam family "Bacterial small subunit ribosomal RNA", at positions 9 to 417 of the family's 1533-position model. Lineage: Bacteria; Pseudomonadati; Pseudomonadota; Betaproteobacteria. The record is from RNAcentral.
GAGUUUGAUCUUGGCUCAGAUUGAACGCUGGCGGAAUGCUUUACACAUGCAAGUCGAGCGGCAGCGCGGGGCAACCUGGCGGCGAGCGGCGAACGGGUGAGUAAUGCAUCGGAACAUGUCCAUGUCGUGGGGGAUAGCCCGGCGAAAGCCGGAUUAAUACCGCAUACGCCCGAGAGGGGAAAGUGGGGGACCGCAAGGCCUCACGCGAUUGGGUUGGCCGAUGUCCGAUUAGCUAGUUGGCGGGGUAAAGGCCCACCAAGGCGAUGAUCGGUAGCUGGUCUGAGAGGAUGAUCAGCCACACUGGGACUGAGACACGGCCCAGACUCCUACGGGAGGCAGCAGUGGGGAAUUUUGGACAAUGGGGGAAACCCUGAUCCAGCCAUUCCGCGUGAGUGAAGAAGGCCU